RNAcentral lists this ribosomal RNA (400 nucleotides) under uncultured bacterium. RNAcentral's name for it is "bacterial SSU rRNA". It matches the Rfam family "Bacterial small subunit ribosomal RNA", at positions 355 to 747 of the family's 1533-position model. The record is from RNAcentral.
UGGGGAAUUUUGGACAAUGGGGGCAACCCUGAUCCAGCCAUGCCGCGUGCGGGAAGAAGGCCUUCGGGUUGUAAACCGCUUUUGUCAGGGACGAAAAGGUUGUUGUGAAUAGCGACGACCGCUGACGGUACCUGAAGAAUAAGCACCGGCUAACUACGUGCCAGCAGCCGCGGUAAUACGUAGGGUGCGAGCGUUAAUCGGAAUUACUGGGCGUAAAGCGUGCGCAGGCGGUUGUGUAAGACAGAUGUGAAAUCCCCGGGCUUAACCUGGGAACUGCAUUUGUGACUGCUCAACUAGAGUAUGUAAGAGGGGGGUGGAAUUCCACGUGUAGCAGUGAAAUGCGUAGAUAUGUGGAAGAACACCGAUGGCGAAGGCAGCCCCCUGGGACAAAACUGACGCU